Antechinus flavipes (yellow-footed antechinus) is the source of this 6440-nucleotide long non-coding RNA. RefSeq lists it as uncharacterized. The transcript has 2 exons. The record is from RefSeq and is a predicted model, not a curated record. Lineage: Eukaryota; Metazoa; Chordata; Mammalia; Dasyuromorphia; Dasyuridae.
AAGCAUCAAAAGAAAAUGGGUAGACAAUUAUUUUCUCCACAAAUUAAAAGAGAAACAACACAAAUCCUUACUUCCAAAUUUCACAUAAAGAAAAUAGAAGAGGCAGCAUGACACUGUAGGUGGGUGGCCUUGAAGACAAGACCAUCUGGAUACACAUCUUGCCUUGACACAAACUGGCUGAGUGAUCCUGAGCAAGUCACUAAACCUUAGCACUCUAGGAAGCUCUGCAAGAGCGUAAUUUGAAAAGAAAGUUGCAGCAGAUCUUCAUUAGUAAAGGGAAUUUCUUCACUAAAAGUUUCCUAUGCCAAUAAAAUCAGAGAUAAGGAUAAAAACAAUCCUCCACACUCACAAAACAAUAAGCAUAAUAACAUAAAUUAAGAAGCUUUUCAACAAUAUGCUACAAGAAUAUUUACCUAUUUUCCCCAUAAAAAAGGAAUUCUUCAGUUGUGCCCACCUUCACAAAAUGUCACAAAGAUGACAUUAUUUUUCUGGUAUUCCUCAAGUUCAACAACCACCAUUUCAAAGGAAGGCUGGGACUGGGGGUACAGCGUAUAAUUAUUAAAAACUAGAGUUUUUUCCGGUUGUGUCUUUAUAUACUCCCAACUUUAGCCUGAGUGAUACCUCCUACUAAGUAAUUGAGCUCCCCACCCUGAACUAAUGGUUUUAAAGAUUAGUAAGUUAAUUUGUAAACUUCAAAUCCUGAAAGAAUGAAGUACAACAUUGUGCCACAUUGUAAAAAUUAAUUUAAAUACUAUAAUUUUGACUUUCUAGGAAUAAAUAACUAGCAUAUGGAUUUUUUUUUUUUGGUACAAUUUUAGGCUAACUGCUGAGGCUCAACUCACUUGGAAAAUGUUACAGUGAUUAUUGUUUUCAGCAAAGAAGAAAGACUUGACAUAUUGGGGUUGGAACACCCAAAGCUGUAGGCAACAAUCCAUUUUUUUGUUUUUUUUUCUUCUUUUAAAUGUAUUUAUUUAAGAUGUAAAUACAAAAUAGAAAAAAAAGACAGAAAAAAGAAAAAAAAUUGUCAUGUGCACAGCAAAACAUGAGAGGAUUUAAAAUAAGUAACAAUAAAUUUCCAUUUCAAGAAAGCAUUCAUAAUAGAAAACAUUUUUCUUUUGCUUUCUUGUAGGUUUUCUUUUGCCCUCUGUUGUGCAUUUUUUACUUUAUUCUUUUUUUCCUUCCUCUACAUUUCUUCUAAGCAGACUAUAGUUAAGCAUGGAUAUAUUUAUGUGUGUAUGUAUGUAUCAUACACACAUAUGUUUACAUACACAUACAUAUACACACAUCUAAAGCAAUAUAAAUAUGGCUGAAAUAUAAUGUAUAUUUCUCUCUUUCAAUUGAAUUUUUUUAAACUUUGACUUUGAAAUCAAUGAUUACUACCUUAGUUUUUUUUUUUCCCCUACAAAUUCUAGUCCUGAUUACUGUAAUGGUGUUUGUAUAUAUCUAGUUUCUUAUAAUUGCUAACUCUCCCUUAUUUCUAAUUUGGUAGCUUGCCUUGCUAUUUUUUUUAUUAAAACUUUUUGUUUACAAAGCAUAUACAUGGGUAAUUUUUACAACAUUGACCCUUGCAUAACCUUUUGUUCCAAAUUUUUCCCUCCUUUCCCCCACCCCCUCUCCUAGCUGGCAAGUAGUCCCAUACAUAUUAAAUAGGUUGAAACACAUGUUAGGUCCAAUAUAUGUAUAUAUACUUAUACAGUUAUCUAGUUGCACAAGAAAAAUCAGAUCAAGAAAAAUCUAAUCAAUUAAGUAAAGGUUUAUUUUUUUCAUAAAACCAAGUCUUACUUUUAUUUAUUAAUUCAAUAAUUUUUUUUUAGUUUCAAUUUUAUUGAUCUUUUAUUUUUAGAAUUUGGAAAUUUUAGAAUUUUAGAAUUUUUAGAAUUUGGUAUUUGAUUGGGGUUUUAAAAAAUUUUUUCCCUAGCUUUUUUAGUUGCAAGCCCAAUUUAUUGAUCUUCUCUUUCUUGUCUCAUUAUUGUCAUUCUUUUGGAUGAAAUUAUUGAUUGAUUCAGAUUUGCCAUUUCACCCAUUCAUUCUUUAGGAUAAGAUUAUUUAGUUUCCAGUUUCUUUUUGUCUAUUUUCCUCUGGCCCUUUAGUGAAUGAAAUUUUUAUUGCAUCAUGAUCUGAAGAAAAAUGCAUUUAUGAUUUUUGCCUUUCUGCCUUUGAUUUUGAGGUCUUUAUGAUCUAAUAUAUGGUCAAUUUGUGUAUAGGUUCCAUGAAUUGCCAAGAAAAAAAUUUUAUUUUUACUCCUUUCUGUCUCCAUUUAAUUUUCUCCCAAGAUCUAUCAUAUCUAGUUUUUCUAGUAUUUUAUUUUUACCCCUUUUAACUUCUUAUUUAUUUUGUGGUUUGAUUUAUCUAGUUCUCAGAGAGCAAGAUUGAGAUCUCCCAUAUUAUAGUUUUGCUGUCUAUUUCUUCUUCCAACUCUGUUAAGCUCUCCUUUAGGAAUUUAGAUGCUACACCACUUUGUGCAUAUGUUUAAUAUGGAUAUUAUUUCAUUAUCUAUGGUACACUUUAGCAUGAUACAGCUUCCUUCCUUAUCUCUUUUAAUUAGAUCAAUUUUUGCUUUUGCUUGAUCUGAGACAAGGAUGGAUACUCCUGCUUUUUUUUUAUUUCACCUGAAGCAUAACAGAUUCUGUUCCAGCCUUUUACCUUUAUUCUGUAUGUGUUGUUCUGCUUUAAAUGUUUUUUUUAUAAACAACAUAUUGUAGGAUUCUGGCUUUUAAUUCAGUCUGCUAUCCGCUUCUGAUUUAGGCAAGAGUGUACCCCAUUCACAUUUACAGUUAAGAAUACUAAUUCUGUAUUUCCUGCCAUCUUAUUAACCCCAAAUUAUACUUUUCUUUUUCCUUUUCCUCCUCCCCAGUAUUUUACUUAUGAGCAUUACUUGCCUCCCCUUUUCCUUUCUAUGUAGUCUACCCCUUCCCGUUUCUCCUUUUCCCCUCCCACUUUUCUAUAAGGGAGAGAAGUUUUUCAGUGAAACCAAAUAUUCUAAUAUUCUUUGGGCCAAAUCUGAUGAGAGUGAGAUUCACACAAUAUUCGUCACUUUCCUUUCUUUCCCUCAAUUAUGAUAUGUUUUCUUUGCCUCUUCCUGAGAUGUAAUUUCCCUCAUUUUACCUCUACUUUCCCCCUUUUCUGUUGCAAUCCUCUUUCCACUCUCUAGUUUCUUUUUUAUAUUAUAACAGUAAAAUCAGAUUAUACAUGUACUCUCAAUGUAUACCCAUAAUAGAAAUGCAGUUCUCAAGAGCUUUUUUUUUUUUCUUUUUUACCUUUUUAUGCUUCUCUUGAGUUCUAUAUUUGGAGGUUAAAUUUUUUGUUUAGCUCUGGUCUUUUCAUCAAAAAUAAACAGAAUUCACCAGUUUCAUUGAAUGUCCAUCUUCUUCCCUGAAAGAAAAUGCUCAGUUUAGCAGGGUAAUUUAUUCUUGGGUGCAUUCGAAGUUCCUUUGCCUUUCGGAAUAUCAGAUUCCAGGCCCUUCGAUCCUUUAAAGUAGAAGCUGCUAGGUCCUGAGUAAUCCUUAUUGUGGCUCCUCAGUAUUUGAAUCAUUUCUUUCUGGCUGCUUGUAAUAUUUUUUUCCUUGGUCCAAUAGUUUUCCAAUUUAGCCACAAUAUUCCUUGGGGUUUUAAUUUUGGGGUCUCUUUCAGGAGGCAUUCAGUAAAUUCUUUCAAUGGUCAUUUAACCUUGUUUCUAUGAUCUCCAGGCAGUUCUCUUUGAUGAUUUCCUGAAAGAUAGUGUCUAAGCUCUUUUUUUCAUCAUGUAUUUCAGGGAGUCCAAUAAUCCUUAGAUUGUCUCUUCUAAAUCUGCUUUCCAGAUCGAUUAUUUUCCCAAUUAGGUAUUUUACAUUUUUUUCUAUUUUUCUUUUUUUUUUUUUUUUUGGUUUUGCUUGACUGAUUCUUGUUUCAUUGAGUCAUUCAUUUCCAUUUGUUCAAUUCUGAAUUUUAGUGAAUUAUUUUCAUUUACUUUUUUUAUUUCUUUUUGCAUUUGUCCAAUUGAAUUUUUAAAUGAGCUGUUUUGUUCUAUGGAAUCUUUUUCCAUUUCACAAAUUCUGGUUUUUAGAGGAAUUAUUUUCUUUUUCCAUUUUACAAAUUCUGUUUUUCUGGGAGUUGCUUCCUUUUUAGAUUUUAUCAAAUCUAUCUUUUAAUGAAAUACAUGCUUUUUUCCUUUUCACUAAGUCUAUUUUGUAGUGAAUUUUCUUCAGAUAGUUUCUGUUGCCUUUUGUAAACUCUCUUGCAAAUUUUUCCUUUCCUUUCCCCAUUUUUCUUCUCUCUUUUAAGAUCCUUUUAAAUUUCUUCUAGGAGAGACUUGUGUAAUGGGGACUGGUUUAUAAUGCCUUUUGGGGCUUUAUUUGGAGACAAUCUGCCUUAGUCUCCUCAGGGUUUGAAAUCUGUUCUUCUCUUUCACCAUAAAAACUGUCUAUCAUCAGAGUCCUCUUUAUUUUUUUACUCAUUAAAAAAAAAAAUUAAGGUCUGCUUUUAGGGUGAGAGAGGUUUUCAAGCAGUGCUGGGUCAGUACUGAUUCACUUCCGGUACUGAGUAGAUGUGGCCUGGUCCCAUGAGAUUCUGGCAUUUUGGGGUUUACCACUGAUCUUCUGUGUUUGUGUUGGAUGUUUUCUAACUUCUCUGCUGAUCUACCGGCUUACAAUCAGGGCAGAGUGGUCAACCGUACUGUAGAUUCCUCCUUAUAGAUGCUCUGCCACAUGGAGUCCGCACCAUCAGCAGAGUCUGUACUACCCCAUUGACUCUGCAAUGUCAUUUGUAUUCAGCAGCUUGUGCUUUCCUGCCUCCCUUCCAUUUCUGUUCGAAACAGAUCUUUUCUGGGAAUAUUUGAAAUUAUUUUCUGCUGAUAAUUUGUUGCACUCCUAAUAUUUGUGGAUUUUGCUGGUCCAGAGCUAAUUCAGUGGCUGGAUUUCAUAAUUAGUGUGAGGGUUGUAGAAAAGGAUCAGAGAGAAAUGUGUGGCCUCUCAGGCCAUCUUAGCUCCACCCCCCAAUAAUCCAUUUUCUUAAAAUAUUUUUAAAGUAUAUAUUGAAAAGAGAGACUGUAUGGCAUAGUAAACAGAAUGAUAAGUCAUAAUAACUUGAAUUCAAAUCUUGUGUUAUAGAUUCUAAUUGUCUGAGCAAGGACAAGUCUUUUUAAAAAUUAUACUAAAUUCUACAUACUUCUAGGUACUUUCCUACAUUGGUCAUUCUACUUUUGUUGUUUUCAGUUUAAAUUGUUUUGUUGCUACUCUUUUCGUUUAUAUUGUUAUAGUCUUUAUUAUUUUCUUGCUUCUUCUGCUUUUACUUUGCAUCAGUUCAUAUAUCUUUGUAGUAGUCAUCAUGCUUAAUCUUUCUUGUAACAUAAUGCUAUUCCAUUGCCCUAAUGUACCACAAUUUUUAUUUUACAGCUAUUCUCCAAUCAAUAAACUUUAUUUCCAUGUCUUUACCACAUAUUACUGCUGUGAUAUUUUAAUGUAAAUAAGGCCAUUCUUUUUGAUUCUGACCUCCUUGGGGACUAUGCCUACUAAGGAAAUCUCUGGAACAAAAAAAAAAUUGGACAUUUUAGUCACUUUCUUGAUAUUAUUCCCAAUUGUUUUCCAGAAUGGUUAGACCAAUUCACAAUUUUACCAACAAUGCACAGCCAUCUUUCUACAAGCUCUUCUACACAAAUUUUUGUUAUUCUUGACAAUUUAAGAUGAAAUUUCAUUGUUUUGAUUUGUACUUCUCUUCUUAGCGAUUUGGAGCAUUUUUUCAUAUGUUUAUGAAUAGUUCACAAUUCUUUUUUUUUUAGAAAUGUUUGUUGAUAUCUGUUGACCACAUGUUUUGGGGCUUAUUUAUUUCUAUUAGUUGUCUAUAUGGCUUCAUGACAAUGGCCUUUUUUCACUCCUCAGGCUGAAAUUUUGUGAACAGUUUUCUUUCUCUUGUUUCUCUUCUGGCCUAUCACAAUAUCUCUUACAUUCAUCUCUCCUCUCCAUCUACACAGUCAUCACCCUAAUUCAGUACCUCAUCACUUCUUGACUCAGCUCUUGGUCUUUGCUGUGGCUUGCUUGUCUAAUAGUUGAGGAGGUAGAAAGGGCAAGAUGUAACAAUAGAUUGGCAUGUGAGAUAAGAGGUGGUGAUAAGUAGUAACACCAAUAUUACAAACCUGGAUAGGGGUGCCUUUGACAAAACUAAAAACAUUUAGAAGAGAAGAGGUUUAGGAAUAAAAAUCAGGAUUCUAGUUUGAGAUAUGUUGAUUUUGAAAUGUCUCCAAGGCAUUCAGUUUAAAAUUUUCAGUAAACAAUUGUUAAUAAGACUCAAGUGCACAUGCACGAGAGACAGACAGACAGACAGAGACACACAGAGAGAGAGACAGAGAGAAAGGGGAGACAGCAAGGGAGAGGAAGGGAAAGAGAAAAAGAGACAGAGGCAGACAGAGAGAUAGAGACAGAGCCAGAGAAAGAGACUCAGAGAGAGACAGACACACAGACAGAAAAAGA